RNAcentral lists this unclassified non-coding RNA (240 nucleotides) under soil metagenome. RNAcentral's name for it is "partial contains 5.8S ribosomal RNA, internal transcribed spacer 2, and large subunit ribosomal RNA". The record is from RNAcentral.
AACGGUCUAUACCUGCGGUACCUGCGGAGGGAUCAUUACAUGGCGGAGGAGGUGGGCACCUAGGAAAACAAAACCCUAGGUGUGUUGCCUACCACGCUUUCUACCCUUGUCUAUUUGCACCUUUUGUCGUUCCCUCGGUGGGUCCUGAACCUGCCGGCGGCAACUUUCAAAAACCUUUUGUAGUUAGUAUCUAAUUCUUCUGAUCAAAUAUUCAAUCGUUACAACUUUCAACAAUGGAUC